This is a non-coding RNA of Trichobilharzia regenti, 46 nucleotides long. Lineage: Eukaryota; Metazoa; Platyhelminthes; Trematoda; Strigeidida; Schistosomatidae. The record is from Rfam.
GUACUACUGAAGAGUCCAAGACUAGGACGAAACGGCUGUCCAGUAC